Molecule: small nuclear RNA, 121 nt
Organism: Oryctolagus cuniculus (rabbit)
Lineage: Eukaryota; Metazoa; Chordata; Mammalia; Lagomorpha; Leporidae
Gene: U2
Rfam family: U2 spliceosomal RNA
About the family: U2 is a small nuclear RNA (snRNA) component of the spliceosome (involved in pre-mRNA splicing). Complementary binding between U2 snRNA (in an area lying towards the 5' end but 3' to hairpin I) and the branchpoint sequence (BPS) of the intron results the bulging out of an unpaired adenosine, on the BPS, which initiates a nucleophilic attack at the intronic 5' splice site, thus starting the first of two transesterification reactions that mediate splicing.
Source: Ensembl
AUAGCUUCUCAGCCUUUUGGCUAACGUCAAGUGUAGUAUCUGUUCUUAUCAGUUUAGUGCUCAAGAAUCUAAGGACUCUGCUAAUACGCCUGAGAAAGCAGUGGAAGAUGCUCAAGUCCUU